GAACAAGGGGAAGGCCUCCGGCGCUGAGGAUUCUGGGGAACGUAGUUCGCUCACUGGGCUGCGCACGCGCACUGGCUGCCUAGCGGCCUGGCUCAGGCGGCCGGGUGCCAUUGCUGGACGCGUUCCCGCCGUGCACUGCGAAGCCCUUCAGUUUUCCUGAGUUUCGCAGCCAGAUAUGUCUUUGUGGGACUCUACUUUUUCCAGAAAGGGGAGCACAGAGGAAGAGAUUAUGACUGCUGUGGUUUUUUCAGUUGUCCCUCUGAGUCCUGAACUUACCCAGGGAGGUGAAGACCUUCAGUGUCAAGCCGAAGAACCUGAAUUGGUAAAGGUAGUACCUAGCAUGUAUGUAAGGGGAAACAAAGAGAUAGAGCCU
This 373-nucleotide long non-coding RNA is filed under the name Dasypus novemcinctus (nine-banded armadillo). RNAcentral's name for it is "lncRNA (ENSDNOG00000051458.1)". Lineage: Eukaryota; Metazoa; Chordata; Mammalia; Cingulata; Dasypodidae. The record is from RNAcentral.